This 498-nucleotide unclassified non-coding RNA is filed under the name uncultured Scutellospora. RNAcentral's name for it is "SSU rRNA". It matches the Rfam family "Eukaryotic small subunit ribosomal RNA", at positions 591 to 1092 of the family's 1831-position model. Lineage: Eukaryota; Fungi; Glomeromycota; Glomeromycetes; Diversisporales; Gigasporaceae. The record is from RNAcentral.
CCAAUAGCGUAUAUUAAAGUUGUUGCAGUUAAAAAGCUCGUAGUUGAAUUUCGGGAUUUUUCCGUUGGUCAGGCCAACAAGUCUGUACUAGCGUGUAGAAUCUCUACCUUCUGGGGAACCAUCAUGUUAUUAAUUUAGCGUGGUGGGAAACCAGGACCUUUACCUUGAAAAAAUUAGAGUGUUCAAAGCAGGCUUACGUCUGAAUACAUUAGCAUGGAAUAAUAAAAUAGGACGGUGGUCCUGUUUUGUUGGUUUCUGAAUCACCGUAAUGAUUAAUAGGGAUAGUUGGGGGCAUUAGUAUUCAAUUGUCAGAGGUGAAAUUCUUGGAUUUAUUGAAGACUAACUUCUGCGAAAGCAUUUGCCAAGGAUGUUUUCAUUAAUCAAGAACGAAAGUUAGGGGAUCGAAGACGAUCAGAUACCGUCGUAGUCUUAACCAUAAACUAUGCCGACUAGGGAUCGGACGAUGUUAAAUUUUAUUGACUCGUUCGGCGCCUUACG